RNAcentral lists this ribosomal RNA (301 nucleotides) under uncultured bacterium. RNAcentral describes it as "partial 16S ribosomal RNA". It matches the Rfam family "Bacterial small subunit ribosomal RNA", at positions 509 to 809 of the family's 1533-position model. The record is from RNAcentral.
CAGUCGCCGCGGGAAUACGAAGGGUGCAAGCGUUAAUCGGAAUUACUGGGCGUAAAGCGUGCGUAGGCGGUUUGUUAAGUCUGUUGUGAAAUCCCCGGGCUCAACCUGGGAAUGGCAAUGGAUACUGGCAAGCUAGAGUGCGUCAGAGGAUGGUGGAAUUCCCGGUGUAGCGGUGAAAUGCGUAGAGAUCGGGAGGAACAUCUGUGGCGAGGGCGACUAUCUGGGCCAACACUGACACUGAGGCACGAAAGCGUGGGGAGCAAACAGGAUUAGAUACCCCCGUAGUCCCUGUCUCUUAUAA